UUAACUAUGUUGGUAUCUGUGAACGCGC
RNAcentral lists this non-coding RNA (28 nucleotides) under Bombyx mori (domestic silkworm). The record is from RNAcentral. Lineage: Eukaryota; Metazoa; Arthropoda; Insecta; Lepidoptera; Bombycidae.